GGGCAAGUCUUAGACAAGUCGCUCCCCUCGAAUUCCCCCAGGGCGGGAACGCAGCAAGGGUAGAGGGUUGAGCACUGUGAUUUAAGUAGCUUGCCCUUU
RNAcentral lists this signal recognition particle RNA (99 nucleotides) under Flavobacteriales bacterium. RNAcentral's name for it is "signal recognition particle sRNA small type". It matches the Rfam family "Bacteroidales small SRP". Rfam says of the family: The non-coding component of the signal recognition particle in Bacteroides Lineage: Bacteria; Pseudomonadati; Bacteroidota; Flavobacteriia; Flavobacteriales. The record is from RNAcentral.